AUGUUGCGUAGUAUAGGUGGGAGAAUAUGAGGGAGGGGUUUUGGCCCCUUCGGAGUCACAAUGUGAAAUACCACCCUUUAUGAUUUACUGCACUCACCCCGUCCAAUUUUCUUGAAACGUGUAAAAACGUUUAUUUUGUAUCCCCUUUACUUGGGACGAUACGAAGUAUUUAUCGAGGAAGUCGGACGGGGGACAGUGCUUGGUGGGUAGUUUAACUGGGGCGGUUGCCUCCUAAAAAGUAACGGAGGCGCGCAAUGGUUGGCUUAGUCCGGAUGGAAACCGGACGUGACGUGUAUUCGCAAAAGCCAGCCUGACUGAGAGACCUACAAGUCGAUCAGAGUCGAAAGACGGUGAAAAUGAACCGGCACUCACGCAUGGAAGUGGUGUCGAUCAACGGAUAAAAGUUA
This 407-nucleotide ribosomal RNA is filed under the name uncultured organism. RNAcentral's name for it is "bacterial LSU rRNA". It matches the Rfam family "Bacterial large subunit ribosomal RNA", at positions 2131 to 2465 of the family's 2925-position model. The record is from RNAcentral.